GUGUCAGCCGCCGCGGUAAUACGUAGGGGCAAGCGUUAUCCGGAUUUACUGGGUGUAAAGGGAGCGUAGACGGUUCUGCAAGUCUGGAGUGAAAGCCCGGGGCUCAACCCCGGGACGUGCUUGGAAAUACUGUGGAACUAGAGUGCAGGAGAGGUAAGUGGAAUUCCUAGUGUAGCGGUGAAAUGCGUAGAUAUUAGGAGGAACACCAGUGGCGAAGGCGGCUUACUGGACUGUAACUGACGUUGAGGCUCGAAAGCGUGGGGAGCAAACAGGAUUAGAUACCCUGGUAGCUCACGCCGUAAACGAUGAAAUACUAGGUGUUGGGAGGCAAAGCAUCUUCGGUGCCGCCGCUAACGCAAUAAGUAUUCCACCUGGGA
RNAcentral lists this ribosomal RNA (377 nucleotides) under uncultured Lachnospiraceae bacterium. RNAcentral describes it as "bacterial SSU rRNA". It matches the Rfam family "Bacterial small subunit ribosomal RNA", at positions 505 to 878 of the family's 1533-position model. Lineage: Bacteria; Bacillati; Bacillota; Clostridia; Lachnospirales; Lachnospiraceae. The record is from RNAcentral.